AAGCGGGAGACCCGGGUCGAGAGUGUGGGGCGGAGCCUGGGGGCGAGGCGGCGGAGCCUUGUCUCUUUAAGAACCCGGACGGAGGUGAGGGUCAAAUCUGCGGAGCACCUUGGGGGCGUGGUCUAUCCGGUGUAGGCGGAGCCUAGAGGUCUUGGCAAUUGGGGGGGUGGAAAGGGCGGAGUCACGCUUGAAGAGUGCGGAAGUUCAGGGGAAAGCGCGAAGGCGGGUCGCCUUGGCGACGACUUUAGGCGGUGCAGGAGAAGCCAGAGAUGGGGGGCCAGCGAGCGGAGGGGCUACGUGGGGGAGGAGACUCUUUUUGGUAACCUGGGUGGGACGGGGCCUCGUGGAAGCCUCAGCGACCAAGGGGCAGGGCCUUCGUGGGGUCGGGAUGUCUCUUUGGCAACCCGGGGUAGGUUAUAACCUGUAGGCAACUGCAAAGCUUUAGGGUCCUCAGUCUGAGCCUGCGCAGGGCGGGGCCGGGUUUCCAUGGUGACGACGCAGUGCCUGGACCAAUCCUGGAAUCCGCCUAGGAACUUGGCGUGAGCCUGGAGGCGGAGCUCCAGGUUUGCGGGGCCGUCUUCUUGGCAACCAGGAUGGACCAGCCUGAAGGCGGGUGACUAUAUCCGGAGCCGGGACGCAGUCUACAGGGCUGAGUUUCUCCGGCAUCCGGGAUUGGAUGUAGGAACCUCGGAAAGCCAAGUACAGCCGCGAAGCCGACUCCUCGAGGGGCAGGACUUGGUUGCCUUGGCAAUGGCUUAGGUUGUUAGGGCUGUCCCUAAAUAGCCAAGGUGAGGGGCGGGGCCUAAGAGACUCCUCUUCUUCAAACCACCAAGCCCUCUUUUCCCUGCUUUCUUCCCCUCGUUUAGCCCACCAGACAAGCUUGCCUGUGGAUAUUUGCUUGCAUUGUCUGUGCCUCUCCAAGUGCACGGUCCCCCAGACUCCCAUGCAACUUUGCUUCUCGUGUAUAAAUCUCAGCAACAAUGUUGCCUUCUCACGCGGUCACACUACGUGCACCUGAUAAACUGUAAAGACGGCGCCGGGCAGAAGGGACGAUACACAUCAGGCGUCCCACAAAACCCGAGAUAAGGAUGAAGAAGGGAUCCAUUCUCUGGUGGAAGGAGGAUCCUCUAGCCCGCAGGCACCCCGUGUGACUCUUCAGGAGUGAAUGAAGCCUGCGUCGUCAUCUAGGCUAGGUCCAGAAUGUUUCUGAGUCUCUGCUCAGCACGCCACCCACAGGCAACCAGCUUCGAAUGACAUCUGGAACAAGUCAUCCUGGCUAGCGUGACCGGAACAUCACAAGCUCAGGGCAGUCUGGGCAACUUAGCGAAACUGUCUUCAACAGCCGAGUCGAGGUGUAGCCUCAGAGACAGAGCUCCUGCCUAGAAACCCCAGUGAGGCUGAGAGAAGCACUGUUUAGGGAUGGAGCACUGGCCUAGGACCUCUAAGUGAGGGCGCAUGGUCAGGAUAGAGCACAUACAUCACAUGGGUUCAAGCCUGAGUGCUAGAAAACAGACAUUGACAAAAUUGGAGCCCAUAAGACAACCCCGUGGAUUAAGUGCUGCAGGGAUCUCUCACAGCUGAGGACCCUUGGUGAGAAGAAAGAUCUAACUCCUGCAAAUUGUUCUCUGGCCAUCACAGUACACUUUGACCGACAUACCCAUGUAUGCAUAUACCCAAGGAAAUGUAGUAAAAAUUACUCUCAGAACCCAAACAUACUGGGUUUCCAGUGGAGCAGGGCUGAGAUUUUUUCCCAGCACUGUCAAGGAAUAAAAUGGAAAAUUGCUA
Long non-coding RNA from Mastomys coucha (southern multimammate mouse), 1785 nucleotides. RefSeq lists it as uncharacterized. NCBI's taxonomy places the organism in Eukaryota, Metazoa, Chordata, Mammalia, Rodentia, Muridae. The transcript has 2 exons. The record is from RefSeq and is a predicted model, not a curated record.